Molecule: long non-coding RNA, 455 nt
Organism: Alligator sinensis (Chinese alligator)
Lineage: Eukaryota; Metazoa; Chordata; Crocodylia; Alligatoridae
Exons: 3
Source: RefSeq, a predicted model, not a curated record
UGUUUCAGCUCAGGCACAAUCAAGAGACACCAGGGUUCAUCAAAGGACAUAAAGGGAAGAGAGAGCACCAGAUGAAUCAAGAACAGGGAGGUGAAAAGCCCCUGAUGCUGCAGCCCUCAUCUGGUACCUGGAUUCACACAGGUGAACUCAUGAUAACAGUGACAUCCUGAUGAAGCCGGGGAGGCUCCAUGAAUGCCAAGACUGCACCACUGGUAUCUAAUGACAGGCCUGGAGCCUUGGUGUGCAGGAAUUAGAGGUAACAGGUGCUCCCUACUGCUAUUCCUUCCCAGGUGCCCUGAUGAAUCAGAGGAGAUGGGAGGUGGGCACCCACGGGGAUGAAGAAAGGCCCCACUGCAAGAGGCUAUCUCACUCAGCAGACCAGGAGCUGACUUUUCCUGACAGUUAUCAACCCAGCCCAGGAGCACACAGCUGUUCCAGACACUUGUUGGCUAAAG